This 66-nucleotide transfer RNA is filed under the name Tanystylum orbiculare. RNAcentral's name for it is "tRNA-Pro". Lineage: Eukaryota; Metazoa; Arthropoda; Pycnogonida; Pantopoda; Tanystylidae. The record is from RNAcentral.
CAGAUAAUAGUUUAUUAAAGAAUAUUAAUUUUGGAGAUUAAAGGAAAUUUUUAAAAUUUUAUCUGA